GACGAACGCUGGCGGCGUGCUUAACACAUGCAAGUCGAACGGGAAGAGAUGAAGAGCUUGCCCUUUAUCGAAUCCAGUGGCAAACGGGUGAGUAACACGUAAACAACCUGCCUUCAGGAUGGGGACAACAGACGGAAACGACUGCUAAUACCGAAUACGUUCCACGGGCCGCAUGACCUGUGGAAGAAAGGGUAGCCUCUACCUGUAAGCUAUCGCCUGAAGAGGGGUUUGCGUCUGAUUAGGCAGUUGGUGGGGUAACGGCCCACCAAACCAACGAUCAGUAGCCGGUCUGAGAGGAUGAACGGCCACACUGGAACUGAGACACGGUCCAGACUCCUACGGGAGGCAGCAGUGGGGAAUCUUCCGCAAUGGACGAAAGUCUGACGGAGCAACGCCGCGUGAGUGAAGACGGCCUUCGGGUUGUAAAGCUCUGUGAUCCGGGACGAAAGAGCCUUGGGUAAAUAGCCUAAGGAAGUGACGGUACCGGAAAAGCAAGCCACGGCUAACUACGUGCCAGCAGCCGCGGUAAUACGUAGGUGGCAAGCGUUGUCCGGAAUUAUUGGGCGUAAAGCGCGCGCAGGCGGCUUCCUAAGUCCAUCUUAAAAGUGCGGGGCUUAACCCCGUGAUGGGAUGGAAACUGGGAAGCUGGAGUAUCGGAGAGGAAAGUGGAAUUCCUAGUGUAGCGGUGAAAUGCGUAGAGAUUAGGAAGAACACCGGUGGCGAAGGCGACUUUCUGGACGAAAACUGACGCUGAGGCGCGAAAGCGUGGGGAGCAAACAGG
Molecule: ribosomal RNA, 781 nt
Filed under: uncultured Dialister sp.
Lineage: Bacteria; Bacillati; Bacillota; Negativicutes; Veillonellales; Veillonellaceae
Description: bacterial SSU rRNA
Rfam family: Bacterial small subunit ribosomal RNA
Source: RNAcentral